AACGCUGGCGGCGUGCUUAACACAUGCAAGUCGAACGGAAAGGCCCUGCUUUUGUGGGGUGCUCGAGUGGCGAACGGGUGAGUAACACGUGAGUAACCUGCCCUUGACUUUGGGAUAACUUCAGGAAACUGGGGCUAAUACCGGAUAGGAGCUCCUGCUGCAUGGUGGGGGUUGGAAAGUUUCGGCGGUUGGGGAUGGACUCGCGGCUUAUCAGCUUGUUGGUGGGGUAGUGGCUUACCAAGGCUUUGACGGGUAGCCGGCCUGAGAGGGUGACCGGCCACAUUGGGACUGGGAUACGGCCCAGACUCCUACGGGAGGCAGCAGUGGGGAAUAUUGCACAAUGGGCGGAAGCCUGAUGCAGCAACGCCGCGUGCGGGAUGACGGCCUUCGAGUUGUAAACCGCUUUCGCCUGUGACGAAGCGUGAGUGACGGUAAUGGGUAAAGAAGCACCGGCUAACUACGU
Molecule: ribosomal RNA, 463 nt
Filed under: uncultured bacterium
Lineage: Bacteria
Description: partial 16S ribosomal RNA
Rfam family: Bacterial small subunit ribosomal RNA
Source: RNAcentral